RNAcentral lists this ribosomal RNA (459 nucleotides) under uncultured bacterium. RNAcentral's name for it is "partial 16S ribosomal RNA". It matches the Rfam family "Bacterial small subunit ribosomal RNA", at positions 338 to 795 of the family's 1533-position model. The record is from RNAcentral.
CCUACGGGAGGCAGCAGUGAGGAAUAUUGGUCAAUGGCCGCAGGGCUGAACCAGCCAAGUCGCGUGAGGGAUGACGGUCCUAUGGAUUGUAAACCUCUUUUGUCAGGGAGCAAAUGGCGCCACGUGUGGCGCUUUGCGAGUACCUGAAGAAAAAGCAUUGGCUAACUCCGUGCCAGCAGCCGCGGUAAUACGGAGGAUGCGAGCGUUAUCCGGAUUUAUUGGGUUUAAAGGGUGCGCAGGCGGGAUGUCAAGUCAGCGGUAAAAUUUCGGGGCUCAACCCCGUCGUGCCGUUGAAACUGGCGUUCUUGAGUGAGCGAGAAGUAUGCGGAAUGCGUGGUGUAGCGGUGAAAUGCAUAGAUAUCACGCAGAACUCCGAUUGCGAAGGCAGCAUACCGGCGCUCAACUGACGCUCAUGCACGAAAGCGUGGGUAUCGAACAGGAUUAGAUACCCCGGUAGUC